RNAcentral lists this ribosomal RNA (497 nucleotides) under uncultured bacterium. RNAcentral describes it as "partial 16S ribosomal RNA". It matches the Rfam family "Bacterial small subunit ribosomal RNA", at positions 28 to 507 of the family's 1533-position model. The record is from RNAcentral.
GAUGAACGCUGGCGGCGUGCCUAAUACAUGCAAGUCGAGCGAACAGACGAGGAGCUUGCUCCUCUGACGUUAGCGGCGGACGGGUGAGUAACACGUGGAUAACCUACCUAUAAGACUGGGAUAACUUCGGGAAACCGGAUCUAAUACCGGAUAAUAUAUUGAACCGCAUGGUUCAAUAGUGAAAGUCGGUUUUGCUGUCACUUAUAGAUGGAUCCGCGCCGCAUUAGCUAGUUGGUAAGGUAACGGCUUACCAAGGCUACGAUGCGUAGCCGACGUGAGAGGGUGAUCGGCCACACUGGAGCUGAGACACGGUCCAGACUCCUACGGGAGGCAGCAGUAGGGAAUCUGCCGCAAUAGGCGAAAGCCUGACGGAGCAACGCCGCGUGAGUGAUGAAGGUCUUCGGAUCGUAAAACUCUGUUAUUAGGGAAGAACAAAUGUGUAAGUAACUAUGCACGUCUUGACGGUACCUAAUCAGAAAGCCACGGCUAACUACGUG